RNAcentral lists this transfer RNA (73 nucleotides) under Bos taurus (domestic cattle). It matches the Rfam family "tRNA". From Rfam's summary of the family: Transfer RNA (tRNA) molecules are approximately 80 nucleotides in length. Their secondary structure includes four short double-helical elements and three loops (D, anti-codon, and T loops). RNAcentral also lists the same sequence under 4 other names. Lineage: Eukaryota; Metazoa; Chordata; Mammalia; Artiodactyla; Bovidae. The record is from Rfam by way of RNAcentral.
UCCCUGGUGGUCCAGUGGAUAAGACUCUGUACUCCCAAUGCAGGGGGCCUGGGUUUGAUUCCUGGUCAGAGAA